RNAcentral lists this ribosomal RNA (891 nucleotides) under Klebsiella pneumoniae. RNAcentral describes it as "partial 23S ribosomal RNA". It matches the Rfam family "Bacterial large subunit ribosomal RNA", at positions 373 to 1269 of the family's 2925-position model. Lineage: Bacteria; Pseudomonadati; Pseudomonadota; Gammaproteobacteria; Enterobacterales; Enterobacteriaceae. The record is from RNAcentral.
CCGUACACCAAAAUGCACAGGUUGUGAACUCGAAGAGUAGGGCGGGACACGUGGUAUCCUGUCUGAAUAUGGGGGGACCAUCCUCCAAGGCUAAAUACUCCUGACUGACCGAUAGUGAACCAGUACCGUGAGGGAAAGGCGAAAAGAACCCCGGCGAGGGGAGUGAAAAAGAACCUGAAACCGUGUACGUACAAGCAGUGGGAGCACCUUCGGGUGUGACUGCGUACCUUUUGUAUAAUGGGUCAGCGACUUAUAUUCUGUAGCAAGGUUAACCGUAUAGGGGAGCCGCAGGGAAACCGAGUCUUAACUGGGCGUUAAGUUGCAGGGUAUAGACCCGAAACCCGGUGAUCUAGCCAUGGGCAGGUUGAAGGUUGGGUAACACUAACUGGAGGACCGAACCGACUAAUGUUGAAAAAUUAGCGGAUGACUUGUGGCUGGGGGUGAAAGGCCAAUCAAACCGGGAGAUAGCUGGUUCUCCCCGAAAGCUAUUUAGGUAGCGCCUCGUGAAUUCAUCUUCGGGGGUAGAGCACUGUUUCGGCUAGGGGGUCAUCCCGACUUACCAACCCGAUGCAAACUACGAAUACCGAAGAAUGUUAUCACGGGAGACACACGGCGGGUGCUAACGUCCGUCGUGAAGAGGGAAACAACCCAGACCGCCAGCUAAGGUCCCAAAGUCAUGGUUAAGUGGGAAACGAUGUGGGAAGGCACAGACAGCCAGGAUGUUGGCUUAGAAGCAGCCAUCAUUUAAAGAAAGCGUAAUAGCUCACUGGUCGAGUCGGCCUGCGCGGAAGAUGUAACGGGGCUAAACCAUGCACCGAAGCUGCGGCAGCGACACUAUGUGUUGUUGGGUAGGGGAGCGUUCUGUAAGCCUGCGAAGGUGACCUGUGAGGG